AUUGUGUCCCACAGGUUCUGGUAUGUUUUACUGGAAAUAUAUACAUAUAUAUACGUAUAUAUACAUAUAUAUAUGUAUAUAUACGUAUAUAUAUGUAUAUAUUUCCAGUAAAACAUACCAGAACCUGUGGGACACAAU
This is a non-coding RNA of Heterocephalus glaber (naked mole-rat), 138 nucleotides long. The record is from Rfam. Lineage: Eukaryota; Metazoa; Chordata; Mammalia; Rodentia; Bathyergidae.